ACUGUGGAUAGGAGCGAAAGACCAAUCAAACUCAGUGAUAGCUGGUUCUCUUCGAAAUAUCUUGAGGGAUAGCCUUACGCCAUUGACUUACGGGGGUAGAGCACUGAUUGUCCGCGGGUCCUUACCGGGAUACCAACGACUGUCAAACUUCGAAUACCGUUAAGUUUUACCGUAGGAGUCAGACUGUGGGGGAUAAGCUUCAUAGUCGAGAGGGAAACAACCCAGAUCGCCGUCUAAGGUCCCUAAUUCAAGCUAAGUGGUUGGAAGGAUGUGAAGUUGCGUAAACAACCAGGAUGUUGGCUUAGAGGCAGCCAUCAUUUAAAGAUCGCGUAAUAGCGCACUGGUCGAGUGAUUUUGCGCCGAAGAUGAUCGGGACUAAGCUUGAAACCGAAGACGCGGAUGUACAGCAAUGUACGUGGUAGAAGAGCGUUGUAUGAGGAGCGAAGCGUGAAUGAAAAUGAGCGUGGACUUCAUACAAGUGACCAUGCAAGCAUGAGUAGCGAAAAACCGGAUGGAAAUUCCGGUCACCGUAAGACCAAGGUUUCCCGGGGAAGGUUCGUCCGCCCGGGGUUAGCCGGAUCCUAAGGCCAGGCCGAAAGGCGUAGUCGAUGGACAACGGGUUAAUAUUCCCGUGCCGCCUUAACGGAGUGACGGAGUGACGCAGUAUGCUAAGCGAGCUGGCUAUAUGCCAGUCUAAUGUCGUAGGACGUCAGGGGUUAAAUGACCUGACAUCAGUCUGAAAACGGAUGGGACUCGAAGCCUUCGGGUAACGGGGAUUCGCUGAUGCUUCGCUGACGAGAAAAGCUCCUAAACGUCGAUGUUUUGGCGUCCGUACCGUAAACCGACACAGGUGGUCGAGGCGAGUAGCCUAAGGUGCGCGAGUGAAACCACUUCAAGGAACUCGGCAAAUUAGCCCCGUAACUUUGGGAGAAGGGGUGCCGAACGGGUGCAUAGCCCGGACGGUUUCAACAAAGAGGCCGCGGCGACUGUUUAACAAAAACAUAGCUCUCUGCUAACUCGCAAGAGGAUGUAUAGGGAGUGACACGUGACCAAUGCCGAAAGGUCAAUCGGAUCCGUUAGCAGAAAUGCGAAGCGGUGAUGUGAAGCCCCGGUGAAUGUCGGCCGUAACUAUAACGGUCCUAAGGUAGCGAAAUUCCUUGUCGGGUAAGUUCCGACCUGCACGAAUCGUGUAACGAUCGCGGCACUGUCUCGAAGUGGAGCUCGGCGAAGUUGUAAUUCCGGUGAAAAUGCCGGAUACCUGCAGUAGGACGGAAAGACCCUGUGAACCUUUACUGUAAUCUGAUAUUGGCAUUCGGGUGUUAAUGUGUAGGAUAGGUGGGAGACUGUGAAACAGACGCGCCAGCCUCUGUGGAGUCAACGGUGAAAUACCACCCUUUAUAACUUGAAUGUCUAACCUCAGCCCGUGAAUCCGGGCGGGAGACAGUGUCAGAGGGUCAGUUUGACUGG
This 1467-nucleotide ribosomal RNA is filed under the name human gut metagenome. Its description in RNAcentral is "bacterial LSU rRNA". It matches the Rfam family "Bacterial large subunit ribosomal RNA", at positions 808 to 2277 of the family's 2925-position model. The record is from RNAcentral.